AGGCCACUGCGCAAGUGUGGACAGCCUACACCAAGGGAAGAGUCAGGGGAGAAGGAACACAAGACUCCGGAAGCAUGCCAGCGUAUAAAACCACACUUUGCCUCAUUGGUUCGUGCCUCAGCUUCCAAUCUGGACAUGGAGCACAAUAACAGUGGGCCCACUGCUCUCCGAAUUCCUGCGCGCACUUGAAGGGAGUGUCUGGUGCAGGCAUGCAGGGAGGAAGAAUGACUCUGAGCUUGACCAUUCAACUUCGAAACUUUAACAUCAAUGGAUCAGCACACACUGGUGUACGGUCUGCUAUGCAUGCAGCCCUGUGCUAGGCAAAAGAAGUAUCAGACCAGGAACUGACAGCCUCACUGCAACAGGAAGAGAGGCUUCACACAAUAAGCGUUUCAUUCAACCAGGCUGGACCUGUGCUUAUUGAGUUGAACAUCACUGAGCACAAAAUGCAAGCCAGACACCAUAAGAGCUGUAAGGAUGAUAAAGAUGUCUUUCUACCCUCGAGAGCUCUAAGUGUGGUCAGGAGAGAAACACAUGCAAAGAUUAUGCUGGCUGGAAGGAAAUGCUGGAAUGAAGGUGGAAGGUACAUCCAGAAUGUUCUGGGGGUGAGGAAUAGCGAAUGAUGGGUUCUGACUUAGAACAUGAAGGGAAGGUAUUAAGAAAGAGGUGAUAUUAAGCAUUUAUUGAGCAUCUCUACUUUUUUUGUGUAUGUGACCUUGUUUGGAAAUACAAUAUCUCUUCUUGAUGCUGGCAAUGAA
RNAcentral lists this long non-coding RNA (758 nucleotides) under Homo sapiens (human). Lineage: Eukaryota; Metazoa; Chordata; Mammalia; Primates; Hominidae. The record is from RNAcentral.